This 292-nucleotide long non-coding RNA is filed under the name Struthio camelus australis. Its description in RNAcentral is "lncRNA (ENSSCUG00000015161.1)". Lineage: Eukaryota; Metazoa; Chordata; Aves; Struthioniformes; Struthionidae. The record is from RNAcentral.
GCUCGGGGGUCCCCUCCGCGGCUGCGCUCAGCCCGCGGUAGCCGCGCAUCUCAGCGGGACGGCGCAAAACCCGCCGCGUGGCUUUGUAACUCGUCUGCCGCUUCGUGACUGUCCCACCCAGGCCGAAUGGUGCUGCACCGAUAACAGUCUGCCGUGCGCUCAAGGAGGGUCACUCCUCCAGGAAAGCCACAAACCAACCAAGUUACUUUGGGGAACAGAGUACUCAGUGAAAAGAAAUGUCAUUCAUGAAACAAGAAAGUUACUGCAGUAUGAAAGGACCGGGAAUUUCUGA